UGUGUCGCCUUUUUCGAAGACCUAGCGGAGGGGGUGGGGAGGUGGGGUGCUCCCCUGGGGUGCUCCCUCGGCUGUCUCCAACGCGUGACCGGCACCCUCCACUGAGCCUAGCUACUCAGACAAAUACGAAAUAGGGCUGCUAGGAGGGAUGAGUAGGCCUAAACUCAGUCUUCCGCUGCGCGGGGCUGGAAACCGCUGUCCCGAGGGUCGAAGGGCGAAGGGAGCGGAGCCGAGGUGACUCAGGGCCGAUCCGAGGGUCGGGGCCAAGUGAGGACUUGGAGACAAAUAGAAGACUAUGUGGAGAGUGGCUUGUGUAUGCGUCCUGGGCAGAGAAACUUCUUGGACUGGGUUAAUAUUAAUAAGAGGCUCAGAAAGGACACCGAUUCCCUUGGGCAAAGUGCUGGUGCUGGCCAAAGGCCCUUCCCUCUGACCCUCUCAUGAGAAGCAGAGCUGCUGUCAAGACACUGCGUGCCAUCAGGGGACACGGGUUCAAGCCCUGGUCCGGGAAGAUCCCACAUGCCGUGGAGCAACUAAGCCCGUGCGCCACAACUACUGAGCCUGCGCUCUAGAACCUGCGUGCCACAACUACUGAGCCCGUGAGCCACAACUACUGAAGCCUGUGCACCUAGAGCCCGUGCUCCGCAACGAGGGAAGCCAUCACAAUGAGAAGCCUGCACACCACAACGAAGAGUAGCCCCCGCUCACCGCAACUAGAGAAAGCCCGCGUGCAGCAAUGAAGACCCAACACAGCCAAAAAUAAAAUAAAUAAAUAAAUUUAUAAAAAAAAAAAAAUGGAAAGUAAAAAUCCUCCUCCUCACCCUCCAAUCUUCCAGUAUCACAACUGUAAACACAACAAUUUCUGUAAAAUACUGAAAUUUAUAAAUAUUCUAACAAGUCAAAAGGCUUUGUUUCUUCUGUAUUGGUUU
Molecule: long non-coding RNA, 926 nt
Organism: Balaenoptera acutorostrata (minke whale)
Lineage: Eukaryota; Metazoa; Chordata; Mammalia; Artiodactyla; Balaenopteridae
Exons: 3
Source: RefSeq, a predicted model, not a curated record